AGUUUCUCCUCUUCUCCGGAGGUCUCCAAGCAGAGUAACAGAGGCGGAAGGGACCCUGCAGGGCUUCUAGGCCAAGCCGACCAGUGGAGCGAGGAGGCGGCCUCCACGGUCACUUCCAAUCUUAGGCCGCGUUUCCCGAAGGGCCCUUGGACGUCGCCUCGGCCAGCCCCGCGACUCCGGGCACGAAGCCUCCACCCGGGAUUGAAACCGGCGGCGGGCUUCGCGGUUUUGCAGAGGAAACGCGGCCAAUUGGGGGGCACGGAGCCUCUCCGAGGGCGUUUUCGGGGGGGGGAAGCGGGAGGGGGCAGUCGGGGUGUUGCAAAGGCUGCCGCGCCCCCUGCCCGGCCAGCGCGGGGAGGAGCCCAUCCUCUCCCGCCCUCGCGGCGGUUGCCAUGGCCACGCGGCCCUCGCGCCGGAGUCGCCCGCCGAGGCCCUCCCGCCUGCCGCUCCGGAGCCCGCGCGAGAGGAACCCCGGGGGGCCGCGCGCUGCCCUUCGCCGCUUGUCGGGUGCGGGGACUCGGCGGGAAGACGCCGGACUCCUCGGUCCGGAGCGUUCGGAACAAGAGCCCGCCGCGGCCGUUCCACUCCCCGGAGCCGAUCGGGCGCCGGAGGCUGGAGCGCGUCGGCCGGGCGGCUGCUGGGAGGGCCGGCCCGGGCGCUGCUGCUGUCGGCUGGGGAGAGAGCCCGCAGGGAGGGAGGAGGCAACAGGCCGGGCGGUGGUGGAGGAGCCGGCGAGAGGCACCUGCCCGGCUGCGGCUCCGCGAAGCGCCUUCGGCAAGCGGCGCUCCCGGAGGCUCCGGCCGAGGGGCUCCAGGCCAGGGGAGGGGCGGGCCCGUCGCAGGGCGAGGCGCUGCUGGGAUUGGAGGAGGCCUCGCUUGGAAGGGCAGAGCGCUCGGGGGCUUCCGCCUCUUGUCCAGGGAGGGUCCCCCGUGCGGUGACGGGGCAGCCCCGCUUGGGCGGAGGGGCCGAGUCCGCGGGCCGGGGCGGCUGCAAAGGCCGCCCACCUGUGGCGGCGGGCGGGCCUGGAGGCUCCGUCUCUCGGCUUUGUGGGCAGCCGAGAGGCGGCCUCCUUCCGCCCGCCUGGCCGGGUGA
RNAcentral lists this long non-coding RNA (1092 nucleotides) under Laticauda laticaudata (blue-ringed sea krait). RNAcentral's name for it is "lncRNA (ENSLLTG00000002924.1)". The record is from RNAcentral. Lineage: Eukaryota; Metazoa; Chordata; Lepidosauria; Squamata; Elapidae.